CAGCAUAAGCAAGACCAGAUCCGACCCAGUACGGGGCAAUCCUGGCUGGAGUUACAUACAGACAGGACCUGGAGAACCUCAACCGGCGCCCGUAACUACGCAGUAUUUAAAUACGCUAACCCACAACUUGGAAUUAACAAUUAAGGCCCAAGGUUCCGAUGUAGCUAGAUGGAGGGAUAAGUAAUAGGAUAAUAAAUGCAACUUAAACACUGCAAAACGGCGAGCCAGUGGGCGCAAAGCCUGGGGGGAGGAAAAAGAAAAGAAGAAAAAAUGGAAAAAGAAGCCGAAGGAAAAUGGAAAAAUGGAAUGCCCCAAAAAGGAGAGAAAAAGAAAAGGAGAAAGAAAAAGCAAAGAAAAGA
This 359-nucleotide small RNA is filed under the name Histoplasma capsulatum var. duboisii H88. RNAcentral describes it as "Histoplasma capsulatum H88 hypothetical RNA". Lineage: Eukaryota; Fungi; Ascomycota; Eurotiomycetes; Onygenales; Ajellomycetaceae. The record is from RNAcentral.